GGGGAUUUAGCUCAGUGGUAGAGCGCUUGCCUAGCAAGCACAAGGCCCUGGGUUUGGUCCCUGGGUUCAGUCCCCA
This is a non-coding RNA of Rattus norvegicus (Norway rat), 76 nucleotides long. The record is from Rfam. Lineage: Eukaryota; Metazoa; Chordata; Mammalia; Rodentia; Muridae.